GUAUGAGAACAUUAUAAGCUCAGAAAAAUGGCUAAAAAUGAAAUACAUGUAACAUGAAAGGGACAAUUCACCCAAAAAUGAAAAGUCUGUCAUCAUUUACCUUAAUGUUGUUCUAAACCUGUAUGAGUUACUUUGUACACAGAAUAUGAUAUUUUAGAGAAUGUUGGUAAUUAAACAUUUGCUGGACUUCACUGACUUUCAAAGUAUGAAAAAAAAAACAUACUAUGGGAGUCAAUGGGGACCACAAACUGUUGCCAACAUUUUUCAAAAUAUCUUCUUUUGUAUUCAGCAGAACAAAGAAACACUGGUUUGUAACAACUUGAAGAUGAGUGGGGAAGAGACACCUGGAUGCCUAACUUAAAGAGAAAGCGUCAAGAUGAACCCUUUCCUCGUCUCAAGGCAACAGCUGUAACAAAAAGGCCAAACAAAGCAGAAGCAGCUAAACUUCCAGUUCCACCCAAGCUGCAACCAACCUUCACAGAAUCUUCCCACCAUCCCACCUGUGACCCUUCAGUUCCCUCAUCACAAGAUUUACCUGAAGAUGUUGAAGAGCCUCCCAGACCAUCCCCAAUGGCAGCAACAGAAUAUUCAAAUGCAGAGAGACAACCAUGGACAAGGCGUCCACAAGAUUUUUCAGUGCCAAAAGACCUCAAAGAAACACUGCAGGUGCUGCUGCAGAAAGUAGACACCCUGGCGGCCUCCCAGAGGGAAAUUCUACUUUUACUGCGGAGGAACCAGGGUCGUCAAAGGGAGGAUGAUAUCUUGGACCUCAAGACAGCUCAGUGCAUGGAGGAAUUGGAGGACCUUGAGAACCACCUUAAGGACCCUGAAUUUAGAAAGAAAGUGACACACCAUCUCAGCCUUAUUAGUGGGGCCAGUCCAGGGGAGUGUGUAAGGAGGGUAAUGCGCGCAGUAGCCACUAACAAUGUAUGGAGCCACUACAGCCUGCAUGGGAAGCGAAAGAAGCUGGCUCUAAUUAAUAAAACAAUAUGUAAAGUUAUCACACGUAAGUCAGAAUGAUUUGUUUAUGAACAGAGACAAAUGUGCUACAAAUUUGAAAAUUUAAUUAUAAAGCUACAGAUUUUCUUGACUUUCUACAAGUCCUUUUCCACAUUUUUCACAACUUUUCUUUACUUUUUUUUUUUAACUGAAAUUAAAAAUGUAAAUUUUGACAUUGGAAUACUUUCUGUAAAGAUACUUUAAUUAGUAUGAUUUUUAUAGUAUGACAAAGUAGUAUGAUUAAUGAAAUUAUAAGUGUAUACAUUGUAUUUAAAUUAUACACUUGACAUUUCUAUUUAAUUUAUACACAAUUGAACAUGUGAAUAAACACUCAUAAAACAAGCACGAACAAAGUUCUGGCACUUACAUACUGUAACGGCUGUGACCUCUGUUUAAUUCCAGAUGCCGUCAUGAAAUGGAAAGCUGGUCUUGGGGAGAAGGAGAUAGAAAGUUUAAUAGCAGAGACUCUUAAACAUGCGCCGGCGCACAUAAAUAAAAGUGUCGAGGGACAUGUAGAGGAGUGGACGGAGGAGUAGAUGUGGAGGAGUAAAUGGUUCGGUGUUCAAGCUUCUGAAGAAAACCUUCUUUGUUCAUUUACA
Molecule: long non-coding RNA, 1598 nt
Organism: Cyprinus carpio carpio
Lineage: Eukaryota; Metazoa; Chordata; Actinopteri; Cypriniformes; Cyprinidae
Source: Ensembl